GGCUCGUUGGUCUAGGGGUAUGAUUCCUGCGUAGGGUGCAGGAGGUCCCGGGUUCAAAUCCCGGACGAGCCC
This 72-nucleotide transfer RNA is filed under the name Schistocerca americana (American grasshopper). RNAcentral's name for it is "tRNA-Pro". It matches the Rfam family "tRNA". Rfam says of the family: Transfer RNA (tRNA) molecules are approximately 80 nucleotides in length. Their secondary structure includes four short double-helical elements and three loops (D, anti-codon, and T loops). Lineage: Eukaryota; Metazoa; Arthropoda; Insecta; Orthoptera; Acrididae. RNAcentral also lists the same sequence under 3 other names. The record is from RNAcentral.